Molecule: ribosomal RNA, 253 nt
Filed under: uncultured Oscillospiraceae bacterium
Lineage: Bacteria; Bacillati; Bacillota; Clostridia; Eubacteriales; Oscillospiraceae
Description: partial 16S ribosomal RNA
Rfam family: Bacterial small subunit ribosomal RNA
Source: RNAcentral
UACGUAGGGAGCAAGCGUUAUCCGGAUUUACUGGGUGUAAAGGGCGUGUAGGCGGGCAUGCAAGCCAGAAGUGAAAUCUGGGGGCUUAACCCCCAAACUGCUUUUGGAACUGCGUGUCUUGAGUGAUGGAGAGGCAGGCGGAAUUCCCAGUGUAGCGGUGAAAUGCGUAGAUAUCACGCAGAACGCCGAUUGCGAAGGCAGCAUACCGGCGCCCAACUGACGCUGAGGCACGAAAGCGUGGGGAUCGAACAGG